AUAGCGGAGGAAAGAACCCACCAGGGAUUGCCCUAGUAACGGCGAGUGAAGCGGCAAAAGCUCAAAUUUGAAAUCUGCCGCAAGGCCGAGUUGUAAUUUGCAGAGGAUGCUUUUGGUAUGGUCCCUUCUGAGUCCCCUGGAACGGGGCACCAAAGAGGGUGAGAGUCCCGUACAGUUGGAUGCCUAACCAGUGUAAAGCUCCUUCAACGAGUCGAGUAGUUUGGGAAUGCUGCUCUAAAUGGGAGGUAAAUUCCUUCUAAAGCUAAAUAUCUGCCAGAGACCGAUAGCGCACAAGUAGAGUGAUCGAAAGAUGAAAAGCACUUUGAAAAGAGAGUUAAAUAGCACGUGAAAUUGUUGAAAGGGAAGCGCUUGUGACCAGACUUGUGCUAGAAUGAUCUUCUGUUGUUUUCAGCAGGCUACUCAGACUAGUUCAGGCCAGCAUCAGUUCUUGCAGGGAGAUAAAAACCUAGGGAAUGUGACUCCUUUUGGAGUGUUAUAGCCCUGGGUAUAAUAUCCCUGCUUGGACUGAGGAACGCGCCUUGCGAGGAUGCUGGCAUAAUGGUUAUCAGCGACCCGUCUUGAAACACGGACCAAGGAGUCAAGGUUUUGCGCAAGUGUUUGGGUGUAAAACCCGUACGCGUAAUGAAAGUGAACGUAGGUGAGAGCUUCGGCGCAUCACCGACCGAUCCUGAUGUCUUCGGAUGGAUUUGAGUAAGAGCGUAGUGCCUUGGACCCGAAAGAUGGUGAACUAUGCUUGGAUAGGGUGAAGCCAGAGGAAACUCUGGUGGAGGCUCGCAGCGGUUCUGACGUGCAAAUCGAUCGUCAAAUCUGAGCAUGGGGGCGAAAGACUAAUCGAACAUCUAGUAGCUGGUAC
RNAcentral lists this ribosomal RNA (874 nucleotides) under Phyllachora pennisetina. RNAcentral's name for it is "partial 28S ribosomal RNA". It matches the Rfam family "Eukaryotic large subunit ribosomal RNA", at positions 47 to 957 of the family's 3401-position model. The record is from RNAcentral. Lineage: Eukaryota; Fungi; Ascomycota; Sordariomycetes; Phyllachorales; Phyllachoraceae.